Molecule: ribosomal RNA, 1941 nt
Filed under: human gut metagenome
Description: bacterial LSU rRNA
Rfam family: Bacterial large subunit ribosomal RNA
Source: RNAcentral
UUAAGCUAUAAAGAGCACAGGGUGGAUGCCUAGGCACUGAGAGCCGAUGAAGGACGUGAUAAGCUGCGAAAAGCCACGGGGAGGAGCAAAUAUCCUUUGAGCCGUGGAUAUCCGAAUGGGGGAACCCACUUAAGUAAACCUUAAGUACUGACAAGCCAAUACAUAACUUGCCAGAGGGAACCCGGGGAACUGAAACAUCUAAGUACCCGGAGGAAGAGAAAGAAACAUCGAUUUCCUUAGUAGCGGCGAGCGAAAGGGAAAGAGCCCAAACCGAGAGAUUUAUCUUUCGGGGUUAGGACUGCAUAAUUGAUCUGCGAUUGAUAGGAGAAUGGUCUGGGAAGUCCAGCAGGAAAGCGUGAAAGCCGCGUAUCCGAAAUUGAAAGCAGCAAGGCAGUAUCCAGAGUACCACGAGACACGAGGAACCUUGUGGGAAUGAGCGGAGACCACUCCGUAAGGCUAAAUACUACUCAGUGACCGAUAGCGCAUAGUACUGUGAAGGAAAGGUGAAAAGGACCCCGGGAGGGGAGUGAAAGAGAACCUGAAACCCUGUGUUUACAAGCUGUCGGAGCACGAUAAGUGCGACGGCGUACUUUUUGUAGAACGGUCCGGCGAGUUAUGAUACGCGGUAAGGUUAAGGACUUAAGGUCCGGAGCCGAAGCGAAAGCGAGUGUUAAGAGCACGAGGAAUCACGUAUCAUAGACCCGAAACCGGGUGAUCUAUCCAUGUCCAGGAUGAAGCUGCCGUAAGAGGUAGUGGAGGUCCGAACACACAUCCGUUGAAAAGGGUGGUGAUGAGGUGUGGAUAGGGGAGAAAUUCCAAUCGAACCCGGAGAUAGCUGGUUCUCCUCGAAAUAGCUUUAGGGCUAGCCUUCAGUUAGUCUGCCGCAGGUAGAGCACUGAAUUUCCUAGGGGGCGUCAAAGCCUACCGAAGAAUAUCAAACUGCGAAUGGCGGACAGAUGAUGCUGGGGAGUCAGACUGCACGAGAUAAGUUGGGUGGUCAAAAGGGAAAGAGCCCAGACCUACAGCUAAGGUCCCAAAGUGCGUGUUAAGUGGAAAAGGAUGUGGGAUUUCGAAGACAACUAGGAUGUUGGCUCAGAAGCAGCCACACAUUAAAAGAGUGCGUAAUAGCUCACUAGUCGAGAGGUCCUGCGCCGAAAAUGUCCGGGGCUAAAACACAACACCGAAGCUUAGGAAUUCUAAUGAAUUGGUAGAGGAGCAUUGAAGACGGAACGAAGCCAUACCGAAAGGAAUGGUGGACUGUCUUGAAGAGAGAAUGCCGGAAUGAGUAGCGAGAUUGAAGUGAGAAUCUUCAAGGCCGAAUAUCUAAGGUUUCCAGGGUAAAGCUGAUCUGCCCUGGGUAAGUCGGGGCCUAAGGCGAGGUCGAAAGACGUAGCCGAUGGACAACAGGUUGAAAUUCCUGUACUGCGAUAUAUCAGAAAUGUGGGGACACAGAAGGAAAGUGUGAGCCGGGAAAGGAAAGACCGGUGCAAGCACAGGAGGAGAGAUACAGGCAAAUCCGUAUUUCAAUCCAAUGGUGUUACGCGGAGCGAACAAAAGUAGCGAAGCACACAGACCAUCUGUCGAGAAAAGCCGCUAUUGUGUAUACCGUACCCGUACCGUAAACCGACACAGGUGGAUGAGGAGAGAAUCCUAAGGCCGGCGGGAGAAGCAUUGUUAAGGAACUCGGCAAAAUGACCCCGUAACUUCGGGAGAAGGGGUGCUCACGCAAGUGAGCCGCAGAGAACUGGCCCAAGCAACUGUUUAGCAAAAACACAGGUCUAUGCAAAACCGAAAGGUGAGGUAUAUGGGCUGACGCCUGCCCGGUGCUGGAAGGUUAAGAGGAGAUGUUAGAGCAAUCGAAGCAUUGAAUUUAAGCCCCAGUAAACGGCGGCCGUAACUAUAACGGUCCUAAGGUAGCGAAAUUCCUUGUCGGGUAAGUUC